This 253-nucleotide ribosomal RNA is filed under the name uncultured bacterium. Its description in RNAcentral is "partial 16S ribosomal RNA". It matches the Rfam family "Bacterial small subunit ribosomal RNA", at positions 57 to 305 of the family's 1533-position model. The record is from RNAcentral.
GCAAGUCGAACGGUAACAUUUCUAGCUUGCUAGAAGAUGGCGACCGGCGCACGGGUGAGUAACGCGUAUGCAACCUACCUUACAUUGGGGGAUAGCCCAGAGAAAUCUGGAUUAAUACCGCAUAAUAUAUUUGAAUCGCAUGGUUUAAAUAUUAAAACUCCGGUGAUGUAAGAUGGGCAUGCGUAGCAUUAGUUAGUUGGUGAGGUAACGGCUCACCAAGACGAUAAUGCUUAGGGGGUCUGAGAGGAUAGUC